RNAcentral lists this ribosomal RNA (465 nucleotides) under Vreelandella stevensii. Its description in RNAcentral is "partial 16S ribosomal RNA". It matches the Rfam family "Bacterial small subunit ribosomal RNA", at positions 338 to 795 of the family's 1533-position model. The record is from RNAcentral. Lineage: Bacteria; Pseudomonadati; Pseudomonadota; Gammaproteobacteria; Oceanospirillales; Halomonadaceae.
CCUACGGGAGGCUGCAGUGGGGAAUAUUGGACAAUGGGGGGAACCCUGAUCCAGCCAUGCCGCGUGUGUGAAGAAGGCCCUCGGGUUGUAAAGCACUUUCAGUGAGGAAGAACGCCUGGUGGUUAAUACCCAUCAGGAAAGACAUCACUCACAGAAGAAGCACCGGCUAACUCCGUGCCAGCAGCCGCGAUAAUACGGAGGGUGCGAGCGUUAAUCGGAAUUACUGGGCGUAAAGCGCGCGUAGGUGGCUUGAUAAGCCGGUUGUGAAAGCCCCGGGCUCAACCUGGGAACGGCAUCCGGAACUGUCAAGCUAGAGUGCAGGAGAGGAAGGUAGAAUUCCCGGUGUAGCGGUGAAAUGCGUAGAGAUCGGGAGGAAUACCAGUGGCGAAGGCGGCCUUCUGGACUGACACUGACACUGAGGUGCGAAAGCGUGGGUAGCAAACAGGAUUAGAUACCCUGGUAGUC